RNAcentral lists this long non-coding RNA (540 nucleotides) under Vulpes vulpes (red fox). RNAcentral's name for it is "lncRNA (ENSVVUG00000020021.1)". The record is from RNAcentral. Lineage: Eukaryota; Metazoa; Chordata; Mammalia; Carnivora; Canidae.
CUCAAUAAAUAUAAGCUACUAUGGUGCCCUUUUCCAGAUGAAUGAGGUAAUGUGAGCAGGAAUACAGGUGGCAGAGGCAGACUCAGAACCCAGAUCUAACUUAUUCUAGAGGCUGAGUUAGGUCUUGGCCACAAUGUUAAUUUUCUUGAUAUAUUUGAGAGAUGGAGAUACAAAAGGAGCAGGCCAACCUAUGCCAAUUUACCAACAAGCAAGUUUCAUGAGAACCACUCUACCAGAUGAGAGAAUAGUUUAGUUCAUACUGCGGUAUUGUCUGACAAAACGCAGAGGUCAAGUGGAUGACUCAUAGCAUGGCCAACAUCACUCAGCUACAGCUGCGGAUCUGUAGCAUGUUCUCACUGGCCAAAAGACUGCUGAUUCAGGCAAAUCUUCUGUGGGCUGGAUUAUGUGAGAAAGAAAGUGUCCAUUUUUGGGUCUCUGGAAGGAAAAGGAGACUCAGUUUUUAAGGGAAUUAAGAGGAAACAAGGCAAAAAAAUAAUUUCUUUCACAAAAAAAAAUAAAUAAAAGGGUGUGCUAUAUCCA